CCUUCCAUAUUUCAAGGAGGACUAGGUUUACAUAAAUACGUCAUUACGUGUCACAAUAUUCCAGACGAAGGAAUAAAUAAAACUGUCGCACACGUAUUUCAAGAAAAAGAGUACAAGGAACUUCCAAUAAACUAUAAAGAAGUUGAAUCUGUUGAGAUGCGCUUUAAAGCAAUCAAUGAUUUUGCUGCUCCCGACAUCAGUUCUGUGUACAUUGGAGACGAAUUCUACAUGUUCAUCAAAUACAUGGGAGAGCAGAAUUAUUCAGUAAUUCCUGAGAUGUGUACAGCCUUUGGGGAAACGUGGAUUUCAAAAGGAUUCAAAACAGACCCAAAAAAUUCAGUGGAGUUGUGGAACAUUAAUAAAAACAA
Molecule: long non-coding RNA, 368 nt
Organism: Saccostrea echinata
Lineage: Eukaryota; Metazoa; Mollusca; Bivalvia; Ostreida; Ostreidae
Exons: 3
Source: RefSeq, a predicted model, not a curated record